This 75-nucleotide transfer RNA is filed under the name Desulfovibrio sp. RNAcentral describes it as "tRNA-Gln". It matches the Rfam family "tRNA". Rfam says of the family: Transfer RNA (tRNA) molecules are approximately 80 nucleotides in length. Their secondary structure includes four short double-helical elements and three loops (D, anti-codon, and T loops). Lineage: Bacteria; Pseudomonadati; Thermodesulfobacteriota; Desulfovibrionia; Desulfovibrionales; Desulfovibrionaceae. The record is from RNAcentral.
UGGGUUAUCGUUCAACUGGCAGGACGACGGAUUCUGACUCCGUUAAUCAAGGUUCAAAUCCUUGUAACCCAGCCA